RNAcentral lists this ribosomal RNA (536 nucleotides) under uncultured bacterium. RNAcentral describes it as "bacterial SSU rRNA". It matches the Rfam family "Bacterial small subunit ribosomal RNA", at positions 27 to 518 of the family's 1533-position model. The record is from RNAcentral.
GGAUGAACGCUGGCGGCAUGCCUAAGACAUGCAAGUCGAACGAGGUGUCCCAUUGAAGAUGAAGUGCUUGCACAGAUUUGGAUUUGGAUUCACACCUAGUGGCGAACGGGUGAGUAACACAUGGGUGACCUACCUUUAAGACUGGGAUACCUAUUGGAAACGAUAGUUAAUACCGGAUGACACGUAUAUUCGUUUAUACGUUGAAAGGAGCCUUUAAAGCUCUACUUUUAGAUGGGCCUGUGGGGGUAUUAGAUAGUUGGUGGGGUAAUGGCCUACCAAGUCAACGAUGCCUAGCCGAACUGAGAGGUUGAUCGGCCACAUUGGGACUGAGACACGGCCCAAACUCCUACGGGAGACAGCAGUUAGGAAUAUUCGUCAAUGGGGGAAACCCUGAACGAGCAAUGCCGCGUGAACGAUGAACCGGCCCUAUGGGUUGUAAAGUUCUGUUGCGUGGGACGAACGAUUAGGAUAGGAAAUGAUCUUAAUGUGACGGUACCACGCCAGAAAGCUCCGGCUAACUACGUGCCAGCAGCUGC